AGGACGAACGCUGGCGGCGUGCCUAACACAUGCAAGUGGAGCGACGAACCGGGGCUUGCCCCGGGGCAGAGCCCGCGAACGGGUGAGUAACACGUGGGUUACCUGCCCCGAUGACUGGGACAACCCGUCGAAAGACGGGCUAAUACCGGAUGUGCCCCUUGGGGGAAAGGAAGCUUCGGCCUCCGCAUCGGGAUGGGCCCGCGGCGCAUUAGCUUGUUGGUGGGGUAAUGGCUUACCAAGGCGACGAUGCGUAGCUGGUCUGAGAGGACGAUCAGCCACACUGGAACUGAGACACGGUCCAGACUCCUACGGGAGGCAGCAGUAGGGGAAU
Molecule: ribosomal RNA, 331 nt
Filed under: uncultured soil bacterium
Lineage: Bacteria
Description: bacterial SSU rRNA
Rfam family: Bacterial small subunit ribosomal RNA
Source: RNAcentral